AUGCUUGUAGAUCAUGAAAAGAAUGCUUUAGGUGCUGGUUAUAUUGUUGAAUUCAUUCAUGAUGCUACUGAAAAUUAUUAUGAGGGAGGAAUAUAUGCUUGUAGGAAUUGCAAUAAUAUCAAAUUUCCUCUCUAUGUGCUUAAAAUCUUGAAGUUAUGCUUGUAUUGCCCUCCUAUGCUAGCUGAUUAUUGUUCCCACAAGUUGUUUGCUCACAAAAUACAUAUGCAUAGGAAGUGGGUUAGACUUAAAUGUGCUAGUAAUAUUCUUCAUGAUUCUCUCUUUAUGUUUCAAUUCUUAUCCUUUAUGUGA
This 309-nucleotide ribosomal RNA is filed under the name Triticum aestivum (bread wheat). RNAcentral's name for it is "partial small subunit ribosomal RNA". The record is from RNAcentral. Lineage: Eukaryota; Viridiplantae; Streptophyta; Magnoliopsida; Poales; Poaceae.